AUAUUGCCAGGCCACCAGAGGAUGCUUAGAGAUUAUCCAGAAAUGAAAUGACAGCAUUUCUAAGAUGUAUGCUCCAGUAAAACCCCUCCAAACUAGAAAGCUGAACUGCAGCCAUUUGGACACUCUUGUCAGUAAGAGGUGCCAUCUCACUCAGAGUUCUGGCAAAACAGAAGGCAGACCCAAAGGGCUUCACCAAAGAAAGCUUAAGGAAGGAAGAGGAGCUCCAAUACUGUGGCCACCUGAUGCGAAGAGCUGACUCAUUGGAAGAGACCCUGAUGCUGAGAAAGAUCGAAGGCAAGAGGAGAAGGGGGCGACAGAGGAUGAGAUGGUUGGAUGGCAUCACUUACUCAACAGACAUGAGUUUGAGCAAGCUCCGGGAGACGGUGAAGGACAGGGAAGCCGGGCGUGCUGCAGUCCAUGGGGUCACAAAGAGUUGGACACGACUGAGCAACUUGGACACCACACCAAGGAAGAGGACACAGCGUGGUGAGCACGGGCCCCCAGGACACUCACAGAGCUAGUGCAGACCCUCACAGAUGCCCCUACCCCCGACUUGGUGUGCGUGCAGGUCAUCAACGGCUGGGUCCCCGCUCCCUCUCUGCGCCUCCGGCCCCCUGGCAUCAAACCAUCAUGCCUUGCCUGCAUUGCCUGGAAGCAGGGGCAACGUCUCUCCUGCCGCUGGGCCGGCUGCCCCCUCCCAAAGGCCAAGACUGUUGCAACGUCCUCUGAGGGAUGCUCUAGGGAGCUGGAAGGAAGAGGGCAAGAGCCUACUCCUGCGUGUCAUCCACGAAGAACCAAGGGGCAGCCAGCCCUGGGCGAGCCACGCCCCACGCCAGGAUGUGCUGCGCAUGCGCUUCAGGCCCCAGUUCCCGCCUGCAUCGCCGCGCGUGUGGACCUCAGGCAGAGACCAGGCCGGUGAACCGUGGGGCGUGACUUAGAACCUGACUAGGAGACAGUGGGAGCUGGAGUACGUGUGAGCUGAGGCUCCAAGCCCUAGAGCACGCUUCACUCAAAAAACUCAAAUGCUAAAGGAAAGCCACUGUGAAUUCCACGACAGAGCCUUAACCGAGAGUUGUGGGACCUUCUGACGUGGAUGCCAAGCAGCAGCGCUGGUCCCGAGCCCAUGAAGCGAGCCCAGAAUGGCCUUUACAGUAGUUUUUUUUUUUUUUUAAAGAAAUUCUCUCAAGGACUUUAACCACAGUGCAAAUGAAGCGUUUCCUGAACCUAUCCCUAAUGGCUGGAACAUCUCGCAAAUAGUCUUGAAAUGAGGCAUCUUUGUUGAGUGUUUCAGACCUUGAGAUAAAGAUUUUUUUGUUCUUUUUUUUUCUUCUUAAUUUAGUGAUGGGGUUUUCUAUUUAUUAAUUAUUCAUUGAUCGAUGCUUUCUUAGAAUGUGGCUAUAUUUUCAGUAACAAGAAAUCUUUAAUACUGACAUGGAUGAGGAAAAUUUUAUCUUGAGAGAAACUCAGGCUUCAAGGUAGCUUUGAUAAACAGCUGAAAGCAUUUUACAGAGUUACAGUUUCAAUUUUCAGUUAAAAAAAAGCAACAACACUAUUCUGCUUCUUUUUGAAUGUUAAAAAUUUGAAUUUUUAUUCUGACACUGAUAAAGAGCAUUACUACUCUUGGACAAACAUUUGACUCUUUUUUACAAACACUAAAAAUAGGAAAUCCUAUGCAAACAUUUCUGCAACCUACCUGAGUUUCUCAAAACUAAGCUAUUGGUAUCAAUUAAUUUUAUUAGAACUGAAUGUCCAUUUCAAUGUGUCUAUUUCCACUGAUUUGAUGAUCUGAAAGGAAUUGUCAAAUUUUUUUCUUUCUGCUCUUUGGUAUGAUAUUUAAUUAAGAAAUUAACAAGAAAGCUCUGGCCUUGCCUUAUAAAGUAUGAAUUUGAGUAAAAUAAUUUUAGUUUUUUCCUUCCUUUCUUAUAGUAAUUACUUAGGAAACACUUCAUUCUUGUAACAGUCUUGAAUUACAAGAUGGAGUUAAAUAUUAUGUAUAUAUUAGGUAAAUGAUUUAAAAGCUUCUGAUGCAGGAAACUAAAAGGUAUAAAUAAGAUUAGAGAGGAAAUUGCCUUUUGGAUUCUUCUAUUCACUAGUUUAAAAUAAACCAACGUUAAAAUUCAACCAAAAUAUUUUGAAACAAUGAGUCAUUCUAAACGGGUAGCAUUUAUGUUAAAAUGUUUAGCCGGAGUAUUUCUGAAAUUUAGGUGUUAUUUAAACCUGCAUGGGUAUUUCUUCAUUUUUACUGUAUGGAUUAUCAACUCCUCUUUCAAAAUAAGAAGGGCCACUCAAGGGUGUAAAACCAGCAAGAACCUUAGGAAAUACAAAGAGAAUUUAUGUCAUCCCACAGAAAAUGUCUGAAUUUUGUGUUGCUCUAUACACGUUUUAGUUGGUAAAACUUUUUGCCCUGUUAAAGCACGAUUUUGAACUCUGGGCCUUCCAUUGCCUGUCAGAAUGACGGAGCAGAGGUAAAAUUAAAGGGUGUUUUCGGCCUGCCCUCCUGAAGGCCCUGGAACAACCUGUGGGCCAGUGUAGGAAGAAUCUUGAAUUCAGAUCUAUCCCUGUGGGCUUUCUCAACCUUCCCUGUGUGUGUCUGUCCAAAGUUAAGCCGACUUCUCUGCACUGGCCGGAAAUAAAGACUUAAAUACACUCCA
Long non-coding RNA from Dama dama (fallow deer), 2651 nucleotides. RefSeq lists it as uncharacterized. The transcript has 2 exons. The record is from RefSeq and is a predicted model, not a curated record. Lineage: Eukaryota; Metazoa; Chordata; Mammalia; Artiodactyla; Cervidae.